RNAcentral lists this long non-coding RNA (549 nucleotides) under Pan troglodytes (chimpanzee). RNAcentral describes it as "lincRNA". The record is from RNAcentral. Lineage: Eukaryota; Metazoa; Chordata; Mammalia; Primates; Hominidae.
ACAUAUCCUCCCUGCCUGGACCUUCAAAACAAUAUAAAACUGAAUGAAGCCAAUGAAAGAAGUCACAGGAGGAUUUUUGCAGAGCUUCCAUCCAGUUCAGAAACAAAGCAAUUCAAUACAUGUCUUCAAGAUUUCUAAAGGCAAUGACUUAUAGAACCGUGGAGAAUUGCCAAGAUUGCUGACUAGAUGUGGCCAGGAGAAAUAUCUCCCACUGAGAGACUGGGACAUUGGAAAGACUAUAACACACCUCUGAGUAGAUCUUCUGAUGGAAGGCAUUAAGAGUGGAUGCAGAGAGGAUGCAGAUGCUGGGCUGAAGAGAGAGGAAGCUGGGAACCCUGCAUAGUGUGGCUGAGCCUCAGGACUUGUACCUGGCCUUCAGAGACUCCUGGGGGAAGGGUGAGUUUACAGGUGAGGAGUGGCCUGCUCUCACCAUGGACCCAUUUUGGUAGGUCCCUCAACCUCUAUGGGCAUCUGAGAUGGUAGGAAAAGCUGCUCAGAGAGGUCAUAUGGGCAGGACUCCAGCCUAUGCAGAGCCCAGAGUGGUGGGAG